AUUGAACGCUGGCGGCAUGCUUUACACAUGCAAGUCGAACGGUAACAGGCCUUCGGGUGCUGACGAGUGGCGAACGGGUGAGUAAUGCAUCGGAACGUACCCAGAGGUGGGGGAUAACGCAGCGAAAGCUGUGCUAAUACCGCAGGUGAUCUGAGGAUGAAAGCGGGGGACCGAGCAGCAAUGUUUGGCCUCGCGCCUUUGGAGCGGCCGAUGUCGGAUUAGCUAGUUGGUGGGGUAAAGGCCUACCAAGGCGACGAUCCGUAGCUGGUCUGAGAGGACGACCAGCCACACUGGGACUGAGACACGGCCCAGACUCCUACGGGAGGCAGCAGUGGGGAAUUUUGGACAAUGGGCGCAAGCCUGAUCCAGCAAUGCCGCGUGCGGGAAGAAGGCCUUCGGGUUGUAAACCGCUUUUGGCAGGAACGAAACGGUGUCCGCUAAUACCGGGCGCUAAUGACGGUACCUGCAGAAUAAGCACCGGCUAACUACGUG
RNAcentral lists this ribosomal RNA (492 nucleotides) under uncultured bacterium. Its description in RNAcentral is "partial 16S ribosomal RNA". It matches the Rfam family "Bacterial small subunit ribosomal RNA", at positions 29 to 507 of the family's 1533-position model. The record is from RNAcentral.